GAUUUCUGGAUGGCUGUGCUAGCCCGCUGGCUUUCGGGUCGGUGAGCGCCGGUACGAGUCAUUCAUCUUUGUAGGGAGCCUGGUCUGCCCUUUUUUGGGUGGGUCUGUGCGAACUACAUCAUUUACUUUGAAAAAAUUAGAGUGUUUAAAGCAGGCUUACGCUAUGAAUACAUUAGCAUGGAAUAAUAAUAUAGGACUUCGGUUCUAUUUUGUUGGUUUUCGGGACUGAAGUAAUGAUUGAUAGGGAUAGUUGGGGGUGCUAGUAUUGGCCGGUCAGAGGUGAAAUUCUUGGAUUCGGUCAAGACUAACUUAUGCGAAAGCAUU
This 324-nucleotide ribosomal RNA is filed under the name uncultured Rhogostoma. Its description in RNAcentral is "SSU rRNA". The stretch from base 104 to 324 matches the Rfam family "Eukaryotic small subunit ribosomal RNA", at positions 733 to 955 of the family's 1831-position model. Lineage: Eukaryota; Cercozoa; Thecofilosea; Cryomonadida. The record is from RNAcentral.